RNAcentral lists this ribosomal RNA (465 nucleotides) under Vreelandella stevensii. RNAcentral describes it as "partial 16S ribosomal RNA". It matches the Rfam family "Bacterial small subunit ribosomal RNA", at positions 338 to 795 of the family's 1533-position model. The record is from RNAcentral. Lineage: Bacteria; Pseudomonadati; Pseudomonadota; Gammaproteobacteria; Oceanospirillales; Halomonadaceae.
CCUACGGGAGGCUGCAGUGGGGAAUCUUGGACAAUGGGCGAAAGCCUGAUCCAGCCAUGCCGCGUGUGUGAAGAAGGCCUUCGGGUUGUAAAGCACUUUCAGUGGGGAAGAAAGCCUUGGGGCUAAUACCCUCGAGGAAGGACAUCACCCACAGAAGAAGCACCGGCUAACUCCGUGCCAGCAGCCGCGGUAAUACGGAGGGUGCGAGCGUUAAUCGGAAUUACUGGGCGUAAAGAGCGCGUAGGCGGUCUGAUAAGCCGGUUGUGAAAGCCCCGGGCUCAACCUGGGAACGGCAUCCGGAACUGUCAGGCUAGAGUGCAGGAGAGGAAAGUAGAAUUCCCGGUGUAGCGGUGAAAUGCGUAGAGAUCAGGAGGAAUACCAGUGGCGAAGGCGGCCUGCUGGACUGACACUGACGCUGAGGUGCGAAAGCGUGGGUAGCAAACAGGAUUAGAUACCCCGGUAGUC